UACGGGGGGGGCAAGCGUUGUUCGGAAUUACUGGGCGUAAAGGGCGCGUAGGCGGGUGGACAAGUCUCCCGGGAAAGCCCACGGCUCAACCGUGGAAUUGCGGGAGAUACCGUCUGUCUUGAGUCCGGGAGAGGAGGGUGGAAUUCCCAGUGUAGCGGUGAAAUGCGUAGAUAUUGGGAGGAACACCGGUGGCGAAGGCGGCUCUCUGGACCGGUACGGACGCUGAGGCGCGAAAGCUGGGGGAGUAAUCGGG
Molecule: ribosomal RNA, 253 nt
Filed under: uncultured bacterium
Lineage: Bacteria
Description: partial 16S ribosomal RNA
Rfam family: Bacterial small subunit ribosomal RNA
Source: RNAcentral